Molecule: ribosomal RNA, 609 nt
Filed under: uncultured bacterium
Lineage: Bacteria
Description: bacterial SSU rRNA
Rfam family: Bacterial small subunit ribosomal RNA
Source: RNAcentral
AGUGGCGCAGCUAACGCACUAAGUAGACCGCCUGGGGAGUACGGCCGCAAGGUUAAAACUCAAAUGGAUUGACGGGGGCCCGCACAAGCGGUGGAGCAUGUGGUUUAAUUCGACGCAACGCGAAGAACCUUACCUGGCCUUGACAUGCAGAGAACUUUCCAGAGAUGGAUUGGUGCCUUCGGGAACUCUGACACAGGUGCUGCAUGGCCGUCGUCAGCUCGUGUCGUGAGAUGUUGGGUUAAGUCCCGUAACGAGCGCAACCCCUAUCCCUAGUUGCUAGCAGUUCGGCUGAGAACUCUAGGGAGACUGCCGGUGACAAACCGGAGGAAGGUGGGGAUGACGUCAGGUCAUCAUGGCCCUUACGGCCAGGGCUACACACGUGNUACAAUGGUGCGUACAGAGGGCUGCAAACCCGCGAGGGGGAGCUAAUCUCACAAAACGCAUCGUAGUCCGGAUCGGAGUCUGCAACUCGACUCCGUGAAGUCGGAAUCGCUAGUAAUCGCGAAUCAGAAUGUCGCGGUGAAUACGUUCCCGGGCCUUGUACACACCGCCCGUCACACCGUGGGAGUGGAGUGCACCAGAAGUGGUUAGUCUAACCUUCCGGGAGGA